This is a long non-coding RNA of Magnolia sinica, 395 nucleotides long. RefSeq lists it as uncharacterized. The transcript has 2 exons. Lineage: Eukaryota; Viridiplantae; Streptophyta; Magnoliopsida; Magnoliales; Magnoliaceae. The record is from RefSeq and is a predicted model, not a curated record.
CCUCUCUCUCUCUCUCUCUCUCUCUCUCUCUCUCUCUCUCUCUCUUAAUGCAACCCUGACCGUGCAACCCUCUCUCUCCCUCCUUCAAUCCCUACCACCACAAGUAGGGACAACCCGCCCGCCGCCACUCUCUCUCUCUCCCUCUCCCCUAUGCAGACCUCAAAGUGAUUGGCUUAAGAGAGAACUUCAGUACUUGAGAUAUAUGGUUGGAGCGAUCAGCCUGCCGAAGCAAAUGACACUUAUUGUGGGAUAAGAAGCAGAGCAAUGUAUGAGGUUCAUGUACCAAUCAAUAGGAAUUAUACCACCUCCACACCCAUUUCAUAGAUAUUUGAUAUGUCCUUGCAUCGAUGUGAACCUGCUUUCAAUCAUUUCUGAUAGAUCACCAAAAAGAAAAA